AUUGAACGCUGGCGGCAGGCCUAACACAUGCAUGUCGAGCGGAGCGGCGGACGGGUGCGUCCUGCCUAGGAAUCUGCCUGUUAGUGGGGGAUCACGUCCGGAAACGGACGCUAAUACCGCAUACUAUCACUUUAUCCUAGGUCGGUUUAGCUAUUUGGUGGGGUAUAGGCCUACCAAGGCUACGAUCCGCAACUGGUCUGAGAGGAUGAUCAGUCACACUGGAACUGAGACACGGUCCAGACUCCUACGGGAGGCAGCAGUGGGGAAUAUUGGACAAUGGGCGAAAGCCUGAUCCAGCCAUGCCGCGUGUGUGAAGAAGGUCUUCGGAUUGUAAAGCACUUUAAGUUGGGAGGCGUUACCAACAGAAUAAGCACCGGCUAACUUCGUGCCAGCAGCCGCGGUAAUAC
RNAcentral lists this ribosomal RNA (407 nucleotides) under uncultured bacterium. RNAcentral's name for it is "partial 16S ribosomal RNA". It matches the Rfam family "Bacterial small subunit ribosomal RNA", at positions 30 to 526 of the family's 1533-position model. The record is from RNAcentral.